UGAGGAGCCACUUCAAUUCAGACUAGGCCACGAAGCUCCUUAGUGAGGAGCUGCCAUGCUGGGCCAUCCACCAUCUGGAUUCCUACGACUCAGGGAAUAGAACACUGCACCUUCCAGAAGCACUUGUUUCUUCGUGGGUACACCACCAGCUGAGAAAGAAGCCUCAUGAUGAUUGUUGUCUUAUGGAUGCUUCUCAUUGCAGGAACCAUGUGGAAGGGAUAUAAAUAUCCCCCAGGAGGGACUCCAGUGGAAGUAAGCAAGGAUGAUCCUGGUGAAGUAAUGCAGCUGUGAAGCUCACCUGACCAGCUGUACAGUUCCUGUUGUUGGUUUCACAUAAAUUCUUGAGACUUGGCUUCCUUCCAGCAUGAUCCUAAGUCAGCCUGAUUGGAACUGCUUG
Molecule: long non-coding RNA, 397 nt
Filed under: Homo sapiens (human)
Lineage: Eukaryota; Metazoa; Chordata; Mammalia; Primates; Hominidae
Description: HSALNT0361715
Source: RNAcentral